GGACCGGUAGCUUAGCCAGGUUAUAGCGCCACGCUGAUAAACACAUCAACUUCUGGUUGAUGUUCUCACUGAAAUCUCCGCUCAGCGGAGGAAUUCAGAAACGUGGAGACCGCCAGUUCAAAUCUGGCCCGGUCCA
Molecule: transfer RNA, 136 nt
Filed under: Candidatus Haloredivivus sp. G17
Lineage: Archaea; Methanobacteriati; Methanobacteriota; Candidatus Nanohaloarchaea
Rfam family: tRNA
About the family: Transfer RNA (tRNA) molecules are approximately 80 nucleotides in length. Their secondary structure includes four short double-helical elements and three loops (D, anti-codon, and T loops).
Source: Rfam by way of RNAcentral